CAUGAUUCUCCCACUCCAGACAGACGCAGGUUAUGAUCUUCCCUGAGUAAAUGGAAGGUGCAAGCAGAAAUUACUUGGAAGGAUGCUAAAGCAAAGAAGGCUUGCAAAAAUGUAAAGGACUCAUGAAGUAGUGCAAGUGCACCAAUUACUUCAAGAGGAAGAUGGGCAUUGAAGAGGUUCCUUAUGGAGUUGGUUAGCCACUUGGGCAAAAAACUGCUCUUUCCCGGACUGCUUAACUGGACAUGCAGUACCCGCAGAGAAAUGACUGCUUGCUUAACUUGCCUAAAAGUGAGACAAUCCUUUCGGAUUCCUGCUUCAUGAAAGAGUCUGCGAGAUGUUAUGCAGGAUACAGAAGAAGGUGACUGACAAACUGCCAAUAUAGGUAUAACUGUCUUUGAAAUUCCCUGCUUCGCUAUACAAUCAAAAAAAGAAAAAAGAAAAGAAAAGAAAAAGGGAUUUCCUGUUUCAUGGAAAAGUCUGCUAGAUACUAUGGGCCUGUAGGCUGAAUAUGGAUAUCCCAACAGGGCUACCAAAGAAGAACUUUGGGUAGCUGACGAGACAGCAAGAUGUAUCUAGAAUUCAAAAACAAUUCUAGAGUUUUGGAAGUUCCUUACAAUGCACUUCCUGUUUACUUAGGUAAUAUUAUAUACUUCUGGAGUCUUUGAUGGAGUUGAAGAAUUUAUAGUUAUAGUUUUCCUUAGUUAUGAUAAAAGAUAAAGUAGAUAUAAAUAUUGUAACUGCAAUUCUUGCCUGAUAACUAUUUUGUUAUAUGUAAUUUUACUAAGUUAAAGCCUUCCUACUUGUUUAAACAGAAAAGGGAAAAAAGGAGACUGUGUCAAAAAUAAACUAAAUGGCUCCUGUAGAUAACCCUUGAGAUAGUCUACUGGGCUCAGGUGUCAUGCAUAUACUGUACUACACACACACACACACACACACACACACACACACACACACAAUAACAGCAUAUAGUAAAGUGCUUAUCAAGUAUAAAUUGGAUUACUGCAUCUCUCAUCCUUCAUCGGAGAAGAUUUUUCUUGCAGUAGAUGACAUUCAACUGAUCAACAUGAAGAGAAUAAAAGAGUUAGAAGUGCUCAGUCCUAUGUCACACCCCUCCUCACAAGGCUUGGUGAUCAUCUCAGAAGGGACAGAAAGACUCAAAGAAUCAGAAGAGGUGGAUGACUUGAAGGUGAAAAAAUAUCUGACCUUUUGUAAAUACCAUCUCAUUCUCCAAAAUGCAAAUAUCCAAAAAGAACUUACCUAUGAAACCUAUAAAUGGGGUUUUGUAUAAUCUCAUUAUUGCGUACCUGAUUUUAAAAAUACUUGAAGAGUAGAAGAAACGACAAUAUGAGCAAAGAGGUCAAGACCAUGAAGAAUUCAUCCACUGAAACAGUUUACUUGAGCUAAUAGGAACCCACCAACUCCAGCUGGACUGGGAAUGAAAAAACAUAGGACCAAACUAGUUUCUCUGAAUGUGGCUGACAAUUGUAUGACUGGGGCAGACUGAGGGGUCAGUGACAGUACCAGUAGGAUUUAUCUCUCCUGCAUGGACUGGAUUGUUGGGAUCCCAUUCUCUUUGGAUGUAUACCUUGCUCAGCCUAGAUGUAGUAGGGAGGGCCUUGGACUUUCCACAAAGAAAAGUGUCUUACGUUCUCCUAGGAUUAGAGGGGAGUGGGGUAGGAGGUUGUGUGGAGGGCAUGGGAGGAAGGGAAGAAGUGGGAAUUUGGGUAGGUAUUUCUUUUUAAAUCUAACAAAAAAGUAAAACAAAAAUAUAUGAAAGGGACACAAAAAGAAAAGGAAAUUUAUUUUAUCAACUGUGGAAGAGCUUGUUAGGCUGGCUUGGAUGAUUGGCGAACCCACUUCCAAGAAGGAACUAUAGCUAAGGCAAAUACUCAGGAGUAGACAGUGCAGGGAUAUUGGGAUCUGUGACUUAAAAGCACGUACCUGUCAACAUAAUUUGAUAAUUGCAAAAAAAGUAGACAAAAAUCUCCCUGUAACAGCUUAAUAAGUAUAUGCUGCAAACACACAUAGAUAUCCAACUGUACUGGAUUUAACUGUGUAAACAACAUUGAAUCUCAUUUAGAGAUGGGUAGAUUUCCUCUAAUUUAGAAUUUCUUACUGAUCACUUUCCGUUAUUAGAAAAGAGGGACUGCCUUGGUUUAAGUAGCACCUACUUAGGUUAUGGCUGCCUAAUCAUAUGCAAAUGAAAAUCAGAUAAACUCCACCCUCACACAAGGCAUCAGCAGGGGGUCAAUUUCCAGCCUGGAAAUAAUAACCUAACAAGUGCGCUCUCCCCUGGGGUGGUAGUCCCCGGCUGCCACAGGCACGUUUUGCCUCUCUCCAGAUGGUGUGCCUUUGGAGCUGCUCUUGGGAGGUCAUUAACCUACAGAGGGGACAUUUGGUGCCUUUUGCUGUUUUACUUAAGAAGGCACAGAGAUGAGUUUUAAGUGAGAGCAUUGCUUGUUUCGCUUUCCAGACUGGAUAUGGGUAUAACGAACUUCCCCCGACUCUAAAUCCAGGGAUCUAACUGAAAAGCAAGGCUCAGGGCCUGAAGGUGGAACUUUUCAUGAAUUCACCUGGAUCAAAGUGGCAAAUUUAGAGUGAUAACAACUAUGCUAAAGUGGGGGAAAGUAGUGUCCAUUCUUCUCUGAAACCAUUUUAAUUACCUAGUCAACCAUAUAUUCAUUUUACAGAAGUACAUUAUGUAAAUUCAUGGCUUAAGACACACAAAACAACUCUAGGACCUGUGAGGUAAAUUGAACAAAUUAUGUCCCAUUUUUAAGAUUAUCAGUCUGAGGUUUAGGGAAAUUAAAUAACAUAUCCACAAAUGUAUGGUUAAGCCAGAACUAGAGUUACAGCAUACCAAUUUCUGUCUAUUUUAGACUUUAGUCUGUGAAGAAAUUCUUCAUCUUUCCAAACAGAACUGAGGGAAGAGAUAUUCCACUCUUUCAACUUAACAUCACUUCCCCCGCUUAUAAGAGUUGAAAUUUGCUCUUUCAUUCUGUUUGUCUAUUUCCAGAGCUCGAUAUUUCAUAGUUAUAACUGAGAUUUAGCAUAAAGAGUUAAUGAAGUGGUAAAAGGUCAUGUGUUCUGAUCAGUACAUAAUUUAGAAUUUGAAAUCCUAGGGGAAAGGUCCAAAAUUUGGUGGGUUUUUUUUUCUUACAAAGAACCAUUAAAAGGGAUGAACAAAAGGAUAUUGAUAACUAUUAUAAAAAGAAGAAAUUUGAAAAAUAAUAAUAAAUCACUCAUUUUGCCUAUGAGCCAUCUAAGUAAUAUAGCCAGACUCUUGUCUAUGAAAACUACAUGGAAAAAUCCUUUACUACUGCUUGGUUCACCAUGUGCACACACAUACACACACAUACUCAGACUUACUCCAUCAAUCUUCUCUACCAGUAGAUUUAUUUUCAAUUUUUUGAUUUUACAUUCCAACCACAGUUCUUCAUCCUACCCCUCCUUCAGCACCCUCAUCUCCCCUCCAACACACCCUCCAUCCACUCCUUCCAACAGGUAAGGGCUCUCGUGGGGAGUCAACAAAGUCUGGCACAUUAAGUUGGAGCAGGACCAAGUCCUUUCCCCACUUCAAAAAGGCAGAUUAUGGCAUCCCACCAUAGGGAAUGGGCUCCAACAAGCUAGCUUAAGCACUGGUAGAGCUCCUGGUCCUACUGCGAGGGGCACCUCAGAUAGUUCAAGCGUCACCACUGUCACCCAUAUAUGGAGGGCCUAGUUUGGGCCCAUGGGGGCUCCACAGCUGCUGGUCUAGAGUUCAUGAUUUGCCACGAGCUUGGUUCAGCUGUCUCUGUAGAUUUCUCCAUCAUGAUCUUGAUCUUUCUUGCUCAUAUAUUCCCUCCUCCCUCUCUUUGAUUAGAUUCCCAGAGCUCAAUCUUGUGCUUGGUUGUGAAUUUCUGCAUCUGGUUCCAUCUGUCCAUCUGCUCCUUCCACCAGUAGAUUUUAUAUAAUCUAUUCAGUAACAUAGAUCAAACAAUUAAGACUUAUCCCUCAUUCAUUUUCUCAUACCCACAUUCAAUUUAUCACCAAGUCCUAUUGUUUCUGUAUAUCCAAACUGUAACCAGAAUCCAACAAUUUCUUAUCACCACAAUAACUACCUCACUUCCAUCUUUUCUCUUAUUACCUCUAUCCCACAGACAGCAGUGCACACCAUACACACCACUUAAAGCUUUUCACUAUCUUCCCAAUAUACUCUGCAUACUCACUAGACUCUACAAGUCCUAGCUUUUUACCUACCAUUCACAGUUCCAUAUCAUGUAAUACCCCCACAUGCUCAACAUUCUUCAAUUAUACUGACGUUGUUCCCCUUAUAUGUAAUCUCUUGUUCUUUGUAUCGGUUAUGCCUUUCUACAUAUCCUUAAUUUAUACAUUUACAAAGUUUCUUAUUAUUUAGAUCAUCUCUAAAACCAUUCAUUCUGAAAACUCUGCAUUCAUCGUCUCAGUGAUUAUUUCCUUUCUAUUGUUUUCUACUAUUGUCCAUUAUAUUACUUCAUUUUAUUUAUAUCAUAUUACUUAAUAGUCAUCUGAUUUUUGUUUGUUUCAUUUAUAUAUUUUGUCUCUUUUUUUCCAAAAUGUAAGCCAUGUUAGAGCAGAGACCUCUUGUUAAAUUAAUGCUAUAUUCUUGAAAUGUCAAACAUAUUUGAAUAUACACACUGUAAAUUCACAGUGUACAUUAAUUGACAGAACGAACGAAUGAACAAAUUAUAGCUUGAAGAGAGGCCAUUAAUUAUCAAGUGAAGGCAGCAGUAACAUCCUGAAUGACUGUAGCUGACUAAGCUACAUAUUACACAAGGAUAUUCAGAUACUCUCCUUUCAGUGUGGAAAAAAAUUUAUGAAGGAUUAUCAACUUGUUGGUUAGUUUGUAAAGGUGUUCUCUUCUUUAGAAAGAAAUAGAGAUAACGAAAUAGUCUCCUUGUUUCGAUACAGCCUUUCUUAAAGUCCUUGCAAACAUAGAUUUUUUUUAAAUCUCUCUCUAUAUAUUCCUUUGCCACGAAGUAUAGUAUGAUUUGUUGCUAAAAGUGCUAGUAAACUAAUCAUAUUUACUAAGUUCCUGAGACUGCUCUCUGGGUAUCAUGAUUAAAAUUUUCAUAUAAAUUAA
Long non-coding RNA from Alexandromys fortis (reed vole), 5101 nucleotides. RefSeq lists it as uncharacterized. The transcript has 4 exons. The record is from RefSeq and is a predicted model, not a curated record. NCBI's taxonomy places the organism in Eukaryota, Metazoa, Chordata, Mammalia, Rodentia, Cricetidae.